CUCAAUCCAUCACCCAGGCUGGAGUGCAGUCGUGCAAUCAUGGCUCACUGCAACCUCCACCUCCCAGACUCAAGUGAUCCUCCCACCUCAGCCUCCUGACUAGCUGUGAUUACCAGUGUGCACCAAUUUUUUUUUUCCCGUAGAGACAGGGUUUCACCAUGUUGCCCAGGCUAGUUUGGAACUCCUGAGUUCAUUUGAUCCACCUACCUCAGCCUCCCAAAGUGCUGGGAUUACAGGGGUGAGCCACCACACCCUGCAGGGUUUGGCUUUUUGGCUGGAGAUGGUGAAAGGCCAGGAAGAUGUUAUCCUUGGCAGAGAAAGAUUCAGAGUCAUGGUCUAGGAACUUUUAGUCCCAAUCCAGAAUUUCAUGAGGGAGGAACCAGAGGCCCAAGAGGAGGUAUCCCCAGCCAUGUCCUUCCCACCCUUGUAUUGGUCACUCACAAAAGACACUUGCUGCGCUGAAGACAGGCUGAAGAUUUCGCAUCCAGGCGCCACCUCUGACAGAUGCCAGGAGGGGGCAGCAGAGAGCCAGGGUCGCAAGGUCCUAGCAGGUGCCAUGAGCCCUGCAAGUGGGAAGGUGGGAAUAGGAUGGGAAGCUGGGCUCCUUGAGGUUGUCACUUUUUGUUUGUCAGUUUGGUUUUGGUUUCUGAGGCAGAGUCUCACUCUGUCACCCAGGCUGAAGCAUAGUAGCACAGCCACAGCUCACAUGCAGCUUCGAACUCCUGGGUUCAAGUGAUCCUCCCAUCUCAGCCUCCCAGGUAGCCCACCACCAGGCCUGGCUAUUUUUCUUUAAUUUUCCGUAGAGAUGGAGUCUCGCUGUGUUGCCCAGGCUGAGAUUGUCACUUUCAAAGCAUGUUUUUCCCUUCUCCAUGUGAGGAUUACACAACCAUUUCACACAUAAUACCGAUAAUAAUAAUUAUUAUCACCAUUAUUAUAUCAGUCACCAUUUAAUGGGCCCCUCCCAUCUCUGCAUCCCAACCCUCCAGAGUCACAGACUGAACCAAUGGAAAGAGAACCAGUGUGAGGGUGGGCACAGUGGCUCAUGCCUGUAAUCCCAGCACUUUGGGAGGUCAAGAAGGGUGGAUCAUUUGAGGUCAGGAGUUCGAGACCAACCUGGCCAACAUGAUGAAAACAUGUCUUGGCUGGGCGCAGUGGCUCAGGCCUAUAGUCCCAGCACACUGGGAGCCUGAGGCAGGUGGAUCACAAGGUCAAGAAAUCGAGACCAUCCUGG
This 1231-nucleotide long non-coding RNA is filed under the name Homo sapiens (human). Its description in RNAcentral is "HSALNT0266461". Lineage: Eukaryota; Metazoa; Chordata; Mammalia; Primates; Hominidae. The record is from RNAcentral.